Molecule: small RNA, 148 nt
Filed under: Pongo abelii (Sumatran orangutan)
Lineage: Eukaryota; Metazoa; Chordata; Mammalia; Primates; Hominidae
Description: Metazoan signal recognition particle RNA (ENSPPYG00000033305.1)
Source: Rfam by way of RNAcentral
GCUGGGUGUGGUGGCACACGCCUGUGGUCCUAGCUACUUGGGAGGAUGAGGUGGGAGGAUUGCUUGAGCCCAGGAGGUCAGGACUGCAGUGGGCUAUGAUUGUGCUACUGCACUCCAGCCUGGGUGCCAGAGCAAGACCCCUUCUCAA